UACGAAGGGGGCUAGCGUUGUUCGGAAUUACUGGGCGUAAAGCGCACGUAGGCGGACAUUUAAGUCAGGGGUGAAAUCCCAGAGCUCAACUCUGGAACUGCCUUUGAUACUGGGUGUCUUGAGUAUGGAAGAGGUGAGUGGAAUUCCGAGUGUAGAGGUGAAAUUCGUAGAUAUUCGGAGGAACACCAGUGGCGAAGGCGGCUCACUGGUCCAUUACUGACGCUGAGGCGCGAAAGCGUGGGGAGCAAACAGG
RNAcentral lists this ribosomal RNA (253 nucleotides) under uncultured bacterium. Its description in RNAcentral is "partial 16S ribosomal RNA". It matches the Rfam family "Bacterial small subunit ribosomal RNA", at positions 524 to 776 of the family's 1533-position model. The record is from RNAcentral.